UACGGAGGGGGCUAGCGUUGUUCGGAAUUACUGGGCGUAAAGCGCACGUAGGCGGCUUUGUAAGUUAGAGGUGAAAGCCCGGAGCUCAACUCCGGAAUUGCCUUUAAGACUGCAUCGCUCGAAUCAUGGAGAGGUGAGUGGAAUUCCGAGUGUAGAGGUGAAAUUCGUAGAUAUUCGGAAGAACACCAGUGGCGAAGGCGACUCACUGGACAUGUAUUGACGCUGAGGUGCGAAAGCGUGGGGAGCAAAC
This 250-nucleotide ribosomal RNA is filed under the name uncultured bacterium. RNAcentral describes it as "partial 16S ribosomal RNA". It matches the Rfam family "Bacterial small subunit ribosomal RNA", at positions 524 to 773 of the family's 1533-position model. The record is from RNAcentral.